AGAGUUUGAUCCUGGCUCAGGACGACGCNNGGCGGCGUGCUUAACACAUGCAAGUCGAGCGGAAAGGCCUUCGGGGUACUCGAGCGGCGAACGGGUGAGUAACACGUGAGUAACCUGCCCUGGACUUUGGGAUAACCCUCGGAAACGGGGGCUAAUACCGGAUACGACACACUGACGCAUGUUGUGUGUGUGGAAAGUUUUUCGGUCUGGGAUGGGCUCGCGGCCUAUCAGCUUGUUGGUGGGGUGAUGGCCUACCAAGGCGACGACGGGUAGCCGGCCUGAGAGGGCGACCGGCCACACUGGGACUGAGACACGGCCCAGACUCCUACGGGAGGCAGCAGUGGGGAAUAUUGCACAAUGGGCGGAAGCCUGAUGCAGCGACGCCGCGUGAGGGAUGACGGCCUUCGGGUUGUAAACCUCUUUCAGCAGGGACGAAGCGCAAGUGACGGUACCUGCAGAAGAAGCGCCGGCCAACUACGUGCCAGCAGCCGCGGUAAGACGUAGGGCGCGAGCGUUGUCCGGAUUUAUUGGGCGUAAAGAGCUCGUAGGCGGCUUGUCGCGUCGACUGUGAAAACCCGCGGCUCAACUGCGGGCCUGCAGCCGAUACGGGCAGGCUAGAGUUCGGUAGGGGAGACUGGAAUUCCUGGUGUAGCGGUGAAAUGCGCAGAUAUCAGGAGGAACACCGGUGGCGAAGGCGGGUCUCUGGGCCGAUACUGACGCUGAGGAGCGAAAGCGUGGGGAGCGAACAGGAUUAGAUACCCUAGUAGUCC
RNAcentral lists this ribosomal RNA (770 nucleotides) under uncultured bacterium. RNAcentral's name for it is "bacterial SSU rRNA". It matches the Rfam family "Bacterial small subunit ribosomal RNA", at positions 8 to 796 of the family's 1533-position model. The record is from RNAcentral.